RNAcentral lists this long non-coding RNA (3119 nucleotides) under Mytilus galloprovincialis (Mediterranean mussel). Lineage: Eukaryota; Metazoa; Mollusca; Bivalvia; Mytilida; Mytilidae. The record is from RNAcentral.
UUUUAGUUAAAUAGAUAUGUUUAGCUUUAUACUGUAAAGGAAAAGUCUUUUAUGUGUUUCAGAAGACUUCUAAUGGUUAUCGUUUCCACUUUUAGAUGACGUUCUUUCCCAAAUGUGUGGUUGUAAUCCAACAAUAGAAGAUCCAGUUUGUUCAAGGUCUGGUGUGACUUUCCAAAAUAUAUGUUUCUUAAGAUGCAGGUAAACAUGUUGUACAACGUAAUUAUCAUAGAUACCAGGAUUAUGAUUUAAUACGUCAGACGCGCGUAUCGUCUACAUAAGACUCAUCAGUGACGCUCAGAUAAAAACAGUAAAAAAGCCAUACCAAUACAAGGUUGAAGAGCAUUGGGAACCCAAAAUUCCCCCCCAAAAAAUGCCAAAUCCGGCUAAAGUAUUCUACUCCUGGGAUAGAUCCUUAAGUUUUUGAACCAAAACGAACAAUUCAUCUGUAAUAUUUUGAAACAAAUCACAUAAUUUAUAUAAAUAAAUUGAAAUCACUGCUCAAUUGAAAUUGUCUCCUUUGAACUGGUCUAGUAGGCUUAACAAAUUUGCAAACUAAUAUGCUGAGCUGGCACAUUUAAAAUCUAGCGGAUGAUUAUCAAACAAUGAAUUGGACAUACAAAACUGUCCUAGAUUCUUUUUUUUAAUUUCCAAGUAUUGGUUUAUAACAGUUAAAACCUUAUUGUGCCUGAAGUGCUUCAAUACAGUUUUCCAUUAAUGCGAGUUGCCAAAUAUUGGUAAAGGAUCAAAAGUAUAGCCAAAUACAGAGGAUGAAUUAAAGCGUUUUUUAAGUAAUACAUUCUAUAAUUCAAUGAUUUCAAUAGUUUAACCACUACAUAUUUCUGUCUUCAAUAUACGUAUUUUCUUGCAAAUAUCGAAGCAUUUCACUACCAAGAUUGUGAUACCCUCUGGGGACUACUAAUUAAACAGCAGAGGUAUACCGACCCAGUUACAACAAAGGCAAAUCACGGUAUCAUGUUUACUGCACUUGAAACACUUAUAAUGGCUCUUGAGUGAUACUCGGAGCAACAACAAAAAACGUUGGAAAGCUGAUAUGACAAAAAGUACAACAAUAAACACAUAACGUUCGGUUCUUAUACUACAUUGGCAUUCAUUUUUUGGGCUUUGAGCGUUCCUGGUGAAGGUAAAACUUGAAAAAGACUUCAGACGCAUGAAAUUUACUUUUGUUGUGUUUACUGUUCUUGAGAUCAAUUCUUACCUAAAUCUUUAAGACAUGCAUUAGGAAGAGAAUACAUGAGGGAAAUAUGUUCUUAUUAUUUUAUUUUUUUUUUACAAAUUGAUACACUAUAUUCCCAUUGGGUUAUUUGCUUUUCCUAUACGUUUUUACAAACAAUCACCGUUAGGUAACGUAAGUUGUUGAUAUCAUGGAUUUGGUUUUUAAUGGAAUUUUGCAUGUGACUGUUACCCGAAGUCCUCCAUAUGAAUACCAUAGAAAUAAAGGUAACAGUUACCAAAGAGACUUUCGAAUAUAAAUAUAUGAAAAUAACUGUUACAUAUUUUAACGUUCAAAUAUUUAACACAUAAAGAAUCCUUUAAAUAGAGUAAUGCAUUGUACUAUUUAUGUAGAUAUCUGAACUAGUUCAAAUAUUUUGAAAUAUUGCUUCUUGAAAACCUGUCCACAGAAGUCUUGAAAUUAAUCGGUUCCAUUUUACAAAUAAAUGUUGGUAAGGAGUAAAUAGUUGAAUUUUCUGGACACUGUAAAUAUAGCGAUGAAAAGGCAAAAACACCACAUGGUGAAUGCUGUGUCCAAAGAAUCUUUUUUUGGGGGGCAUUGUUUAACAUAUUACAUAUUCACUUACAUUUAUACUAGGAAAUCGAUAUUACAGUAAAAACGAAUUAGAUGACAUUUAUAAAAACUUAUCGAAGCUAUGUUGUAUCAAUAAAAUAGCUAUGUUAGUGGCAAUCAGAAUUGUCAAUGUUAUACAAUUCCAUAAUACUUGCAGGUAUAUUUAUGUAUUUUACAUUACAUCUGUGAUGUGACGAAUAUUAUUAUUAACAAGUUAUUGCGGGUUGAUUAUUUGAAGGAAAAUUUGUAUUGUUGGUUCCUUAUUAUUUGUGGGGUGCCAACUUUGAUUUCGUGAGAAUAGGUUAACCUCGAUUUUUUUGUUUUCAAUGAUAUAAUAUUCCCCUUAAGGUCUGUGUGUAAUGUCUGACAAAACACGAAAUCAAAUAUCUAUGAAUUAACUAUAUUGCUGAGUCAACAGAUUGUAUACAAAGCUAACAGAUAAUAUUGAAGCUCUUUUGAAUUUAAUAUGGGCAAGAGUUGAAUGAUUUUCAUAACUAUAGCCAAUGACAGAUGUCGAAGUGAUACGUCAUUAAUUCUUUUUUACAGGGGCUAUUAUUUUAGUUGCUACGGUCAUUGUCCAUGUAUAUUUUAACAUGUAUCAGACAAAGGUAGGUAGUAAUGAAACAUAAUUAAGUCUUAGAACUGAACUUAAAAUUGAUUAACGAUACAUAAAAUUGAGAAAAGUAACGGGGAAUGUGUCAACCAACGAGCAGACAACAGCCCAAAGACACCAAAUAGUCUGCAACACAGAGAGACAAUCCUGUAUCCGGAUCUCGAGGCGGGCUUCAGCUGGCCCUUAACAAAAAUAUGCACUAGUUCAGCAAAAUUUAAAAAAUAAGUCACAGCAAAAUAAGAAAUAUAGAGAUAAGAACUGACCAUAAUAUUUAAAUAAGGUCAAUUCAAAUAAUUCGUGCUAUACUGUUGGCAGUUGUAGGAAUAUAAGAUAUUGUCAUUCGCGGUUCGCUUUUAGUGCAGUAAUGUUUUUCACCCUCCCACCCGAAUAAAUGUAUUUUUCUUGUGUCUUUUUGAUGAAUGUGAAUAAUAAUGUGUGUAAGUAAAGGCAACAGUAGUAUAAGAACAGAAUAUUUAAUUUGAUUUAUAUGUAUUUGCAUACAUAAUGAAAAUUGCUUUUAUUUUUGUAGAUUUGGUUUUUGGGUUUGUAACCUGUAGCGGUUUCGAGAUGAACUUUAUGUUGCAUUUGUCUUUAAUAAAAUUAAAAUUUUGCAACACUUUCAGGCGAGCUGAUCCCAUACAAAGGUGUUGAGUUUAUUUUGUACAUAAUUUAUUUGAACCUGAAAAAGAGUGAAAAACCCAG